AAGGCUGCAAGAGACCGAGCCCUUUCCCAACUGAAAUCCUCGCUGCUGAGAAGAAAGCAAACAACCUCCACCCCCUUGACAAAUGAAGACGAUACAGACAUAGACACCAAUGUGGACUUAUUUGACCCACCUCAGGCUUCGGGAUCAACUGACCUCUCCCAAGGGGAAAGUGAAGAGGAGAGUGUCCUGAUGGAUCAGCCCAGAUCCAGUGUUGGCAUGCAACAGGAAGUGAUGGAUGCUCUGAAAGAAAUACCAGCCUUAGUCAAGUGUGUCAAAGAUCUUAUUGCAACCAUGAAGAGAAUGCCACCUGUCAUGGACACUGACAGUACAUGUUCUGGUUCUUCCAGUCCAGCUCCAGGAAUGCAUGCAGUUGUUCAGAAAUUAUGCUUUAAUUCAUUGAAGACCACUUGCAGAAAUUACAACUUAACUAAUAUUUGGCAUUCAAUAGUUCGGCUUUGUCUUUUAGGAAAUGCAUUCCAGCAACGUAUUCCUAAUACCAUUUCUAAUAAUUGACUAACUCUAUUUCCUGGACACAG
Gadus morhua (Atlantic cod) is the source of this 536-nucleotide long non-coding RNA. The record is from Ensembl. Lineage: Eukaryota; Metazoa; Chordata; Actinopteri; Gadiformes; Gadidae.